UAUGGAGCAAGCGUUAUCCGGAUUUACUGGGUGUAAAGGGAGCGCAGGCGGCACGGCAAGUCAGAUGUGAAAGCCCGGGGCUCAACCCCGGGACUGCAUUUGAAACUGCCGUGCUGGAGUGUCGGAGAGGCAAGUGGAAUUCCUAGUGUAGCGGUGAAAUGCGUAGAUAUUAGGAGGAACACCAGUGGCGAAGGCGGCUUGCUGGACGAUAACUGACGCUGAGGCUCGAAAGCGUGGGGAGCAAA
This 245-nucleotide ribosomal RNA is filed under the name uncultured bacterium. RNAcentral describes it as "partial 16S ribosomal RNA". It matches the Rfam family "Bacterial small subunit ribosomal RNA", at positions 528 to 772 of the family's 1533-position model. The record is from RNAcentral.